GGGGAAUAUUGCACAAUGGACGCAAGCCUGAUGCAGCGACGCCGCGUGGGGGAUGAAGGCCUUCGGGUUGUAAACUCCUUUCGCUAGGGACGAAGCUUUUUGGUGACGGUACCUAGAUAAGAAGCACCGGCUAACUACGUGCCAGCAGCCGCGGUAAUACGUAGGGUGCGAGCGUUGUCCGGAAUUACUGGGCGUAAAGGGCUCGUAGGUGGUUUGUCGCGUCGUCUGUGAAAUUCUGGGGCUUAACUCCGGGCGUGCAGGCGAUACGGGCAUAACUUGAGUGCUGUAGGGGUAACUGGAAUUCCUGGUGUAGCGGUGGAAUGCGCAGAUAUCAGGAGGAACACCGAUGGCGAAGGCAGGUUACUGGGCAGUUACUGACGCUGAGGAGCGAAAGCAUGGGUAGCGAACAGGAUUAGAUACCCUGGUAGUCCAUGCCGUAAACGGUGGGCGCUAGGUGUGAGGGUCUUUCUACGACUUUCGUGCCGUAGCUAACGCAUUAAGCGCCCCGCCUGGGGGGUACGGCCGCAAGGCUA
Molecule: ribosomal RNA, 533 nt
Filed under: uncultured bacterium
Lineage: Bacteria
Description: bacterial SSU rRNA
Rfam family: Bacterial small subunit ribosomal RNA
Source: RNAcentral